UACGGAGGGGGCUAGCAUUGUUCGGAAUUACUGGGCGUAAAGCGCGCGUAGGCGGAUUGACAAGUUGGGGGUGAAAGCCCAGAGCUCAACUCUGGAACUGCCCUCAAAACUGUCUGUCUAGAGUCCGGAAGAGGUGAGUGGAAUUCCUAGUGUAGAGGUGGAAUUCGUAGAUAUUAGGAAGAACACCAGUGGCGAAGGCGGCUCACUGGUCCGGUACUGACGCUGAGGUGCGAAAGUGUGGGGAGCAAACAGG
Molecule: ribosomal RNA, 253 nt
Filed under: uncultured bacterium
Lineage: Bacteria
Description: partial 16S ribosomal RNA
Rfam family: Bacterial small subunit ribosomal RNA
Source: RNAcentral